Molecule: unclassified non-coding RNA, 382 nt
Filed under: uncultured Bionectria
Lineage: Eukaryota; Fungi; Ascomycota; Sordariomycetes; Hypocreales; Bionectriaceae
Description: sequence contains ITS2
Rfam family: 5.8S ribosomal RNA (bases 1-154)
Source: RNAcentral
AACUUUUAGCAACGGAUCUCUUGGUUCUCGCAUCGAUGAAGAACGCAGCGAAAUGCGAUAAGUAAUGUGAAUUGCAGAAUUCAGUGAACCAUCGAAUCUUUGAACGCACAUUGCGCCCGCCAGUAUUCUGGCGGGCAUGCCUGUCUGAGCGUCAUUUCAACCCUCAUGCCCCUAGGGCGUGGUGUUGGGGAUCGGCCAAAGCCCGCAAGGGACGGCCGGCCCCUAAAUCUAGUGGCGGACCCGUCGUGGCCUCCCCUGCGAAGUAGUGAUAUUCCGCAUCGGUGACCGGCGAGCCCCAGCCGUUAAACCCCAACUUUACAAGGUUGACCUCAGAUCAGGUAGGAAUACCCGCUGAACUUAAGCAUAUCAAUAAGCGGAGGCU